UCCUCGGUAGCUCAGUGGUAGAGCAGUUGACUGUUAAUCAAUUGGUCGGGGGUUCGAAUCCCUCCCGAGGAGCCA
This 75-nucleotide transfer RNA is filed under the name Rickettsiales bacterium. RNAcentral's name for it is "tRNA-Asn". It matches the Rfam family "tRNA". Rfam says of the family: Transfer RNA (tRNA) molecules are approximately 80 nucleotides in length. Their secondary structure includes four short double-helical elements and three loops (D, anti-codon, and T loops). Further hydrogen bonds mediate the characteristic L-shaped molecular structure. tRNAs have two regions of fundamental functional importance: the anti-codon, which is responsible for specific mRNA codon recognition, and the 3' end, to which the tRNAs corresponding amino acid is attached (by aminoacyl-tRNA synthetases). tRNAs cope with the degeneracy of the genetic code in two manners: having more than one tRNA (with a specific anti-codon) for a particular amino acid; and 'wobble' base-pairing, i.e. permitting non-standard base-pairing at the 3rd anti-codon position. Lineage: Bacteria; Pseudomonadati; Pseudomonadota; Alphaproteobacteria; Rickettsiales. The record is from RNAcentral.